Long non-coding RNA from Acinonyx jubatus (cheetah), 1386 nucleotides. RefSeq lists it as uncharacterized. The transcript has 2 exons. The record is from RefSeq and is a predicted model, not a curated record. NCBI's taxonomy places the organism in Eukaryota, Metazoa, Chordata, Mammalia, Carnivora, Felidae.
CCCCAAGACAGAGGCCGACCGUGGCCUAAACUGGCCACCACCAUAUCUCCCAGCCCAGUCCUCUUCUAAAACCUUGCCAAUCCCAUCAAGAUAAUGCCGUCCGCGUCCUCUUCCAGGUUAGCCUUUGUGACCGCCUCAGCCAAUAACGCAAGUGACGCUGUGCGACUUACGAUGGAACUGAAAACGCAAUCCUUCUAGGAACGCGCGCUCUCGGAAUGCAGCCACCGUGUGGUAAGGCAGCAAAGCCUUCGGCGACGACCAGGGCAGCGUGCGCACUGAGCCGCAGCCGCCGGCGGAAGCCUCACCGCCGGCGGAAGCCUCUCCUCCGGGAAACGCAACAACAAGUAGCAAGAUGGCGACCACCGACCGCAGCCGCGGCUCGCGCUCCACAAGGCGCGCCUGAGAGGCCUGCGCAGGCGGAAGGCCAAGCGGCAGAAGGCGGCCCCUGAGGAGAUGCAGCCGCACCUCAGGGAGUAGCAGGGACAACUCAGGGAGGAGCGCCACCAGGAACACUGAAGACGCUGACAGAGAGAGUCGCAGGAGGCCGACGAACUGCGCUGUGGAGAUGGUGGAGACAGCGGGCGCCAUGUGCCCCUCCCCCCAACCACACAGUCACAGGCUGCUCGGACUCCCCCCCGCCUGACCUAGGGUCCCGGGCGUCCACCAAAGGGGAGAAGCCGACCAGAGCCUGAGGGGGCAGUCCACCACCCCCUGCUCUCCGAGCCCAUGUCCUCUCGCGCCUCCCUGCACGAACACAGCCGCCCCCAAGUCCAGGGAAAACCUGCCAGCCCCGCGGAGCCCUCCUGAAGCCCCCGGCAUGCAUGUCCCAAACGCCAGACCCGGCCACGUCGCCGGCCGCCAGUGACAGGCCGGGCACAGGACCGACCGAGAGGGGCCAACGCUGGCAGGACUCAGCGCACUGACCCCGUCACCCGGCCUCCAUCGAGGGGAUGACCCCACCGCCCAAGGCUGGGAUGCCAGGAACUCUCUGGCCUGGGACUUGAACCCCUGAAGGAGCAGGCACUGAGAGCUGGCCUUCCUGUGGAGGAGCCUUCUGAGCCAAGACUGGCACGUCUUCCCAAAAGUAUACCCCACUCGGCCCUCGUCAGAUUUAUGAAAAUUAAAAACAAAACAAAACUCUAAGCUUCAGCCCUUGCUAAGCCUCAAAGUUGACAGCCAACCCCAAUCUGACAGACGAAGAGGAAAUUUGGACACACAGACACUGGCAAAAGCACAUGCACAGAGGAGAGACUUUAUGAGGACACAGUAGGAAGACAGCCAUCCACAAGCCAAGAAAAGAGGCUUCAGGAGAAACCAAACCUGCUAACACCUUGAUCUUGAACUUCCAGCAUCCAGAACUACGAAAAAUAAAUUUAUGUUGUUUAA